GGCCAGCAGCCGCGGUAAUACGUAGGUGGCGAGCGUUGUCCGGAAUUAUUGGGCGUAAAGGGCGCGUAGGCGGUCAUUUAAGUCAGAUGUGAAAAUCCAAGGCUCAACCUUGGGCUUGCAUCUGAUACUGGGUGACUAGAGUGCAGGAGAGGAAAGUGGAAUUCCAUGUGUAGCGGUGAAAUGCGUAGAUAUAUGGAGGAACACCAGUGGCGAAGGCGGCUUUCUGGACUGUAACUGACGCUGAGGCGCGAAAGCUGGGGGAGUGAACGGGAUUAGAUACCCCGGUAAUCCCAGCCGUAAACGAUGGAUGCUAGGUGUAGGAGGUAUCGACCCCUUCUGUGCCGCAGUCAACACAAUAAGCAUCCCGCCUGGGGAGUACGGCCGCAAGGUUGAAACUUAAAGGAAUUGGCGGGGGA
Molecule: ribosomal RNA, 416 nt
Filed under: uncultured bacterium
Lineage: Bacteria
Description: bacterial SSU rRNA
Rfam family: Bacterial small subunit ribosomal RNA
Source: RNAcentral